Molecule: ribosomal RNA, 492 nt
Filed under: Oreochromis aureus
Lineage: Eukaryota; Metazoa; Chordata; Actinopteri; Cichliformes; Cichlidae
Description: partial 16S ribosomal RNA
Rfam family: Bacterial large subunit ribosomal RNA
Source: RNAcentral
AGCGCAAUCACUUGUCUUUUAAAUGAAGACCUGUGUGAAUGGCAUAACGAGGGCUUAACUGUCUCCUUUUUCCAGUCAAUGAAAUUGAUCUCCCCGUGCAGAAGCGGGGAUAUUAACAUAAGACGAGAAGACCCUAUGGAGCUUUAGACGCCAGAACAGACCAUGUUAAGCACCCCUAAAAUAAAAGACAAAACUGAUUGGCCCCUGUUCUAAUGUCUUUGGUUGGGGCGACCGCGGGGAAACAAACAACCCCCAUGUGGACCGGGAGCACACUACUCCUACAACCCAGAGUUACAACUCCAAGCAACAGAAUUUCUGACCAACAAGAUCCGGCAUAUAGCCGAUCAACGGACCGAGUUACCCUAGGGAUAACAGCGCAAUCCUCUUUUAGAGCCCAUAUCGACAAGAGGGUUUACGACCUCGAUGUUGGAUCAGGACAUCCUAAUGGUGCAGCCGCUAUUAAGGGUUCGUUUGUUCAACGAUUAAAGUCCU